Small nuclear RNA from Dermacentor albipictus, 124 nucleotides. The record is from RefSeq and is a predicted model, not a curated record. Lineage: Eukaryota; Metazoa; Arthropoda; Arachnida; Ixodida; Ixodidae.
GUGAUGCCAGACAGAAAAGAAAGUGCAUUUCUCAGAAACAGGAUGGUGGUGCCAUCUGUCACUAUAAUGGCAAAAUAUGGCAUGGGCCAUGUUUCAUGCUACGUGACAGAUGCCACUAUUUUGU